GCGGCUGUGGUGAAAUAGGCAGACACGCUAGCUUGAGGGGCUAGUUUUCGCAAGGAAGUGCAGGUUCAAGUCCUGUCAGCCGCACCA
This 87-nucleotide transfer RNA is filed under the name Oscillospiraceae bacterium. RNAcentral's name for it is "tRNA-Leu". It matches the Rfam family "tRNA". From Rfam's summary of the family: Transfer RNA (tRNA) molecules are approximately 80 nucleotides in length. The record is from RNAcentral. Lineage: Bacteria; Bacillati; Bacillota; Clostridia; Eubacteriales; Oscillospiraceae.